RNAcentral lists this ribosomal RNA (460 nucleotides) under uncultured bacterium. RNAcentral describes it as "partial 16S ribosomal RNA". It matches the Rfam family "Bacterial small subunit ribosomal RNA", at positions 339 to 795 of the family's 1533-position model. The record is from RNAcentral.
CUACGGGGUGCUGCAGUAAGGAAUAUUGCGCAAUGGAGGCAACUCUGACGCAGCCAUGCCGCGUGCAGGACUGAAGGCCUUAUGGGUCGUAAACUGCUUUUAUUUAGGAAUAAACUCUUGUACGUGUACGAGACUGAAGGUACUAAAUGAAUAAGCACCGGCUAACUCCGUGCCAGCAGCCGCGGUAAUACGGAGGGUGCAGGCGUUAUCCGGAUUUAUUGGGUUUAAAGGGUGCGCAGGCGGACUAUUAAGUCAGAGGUGAAAUCCCGGAGCUCAACUUCGGAACUGCCUUUGAUACUGGUAGUCUUGAAUACGGUUGAAGUAGGCGGAAUGUAGCAUGUAGCGGUGAAAUGCAUAGAGAUGCUACAGAACACCGAUCGCGAAGGCAGCUUACUAAGCCGAUAUUGACGCUCAGGCACGAAAGCGUGGGGAGCGAACAGGAUUAGAUACCCCCGUAGUC